Molecule: transfer RNA, 75 nt
Filed under: Clostridia bacterium
Lineage: Bacteria; Bacillati; Bacillota; Clostridia
Also listed under: 1 other name
Description: tRNA-Gly
Rfam family: tRNA
About the family: Transfer RNA (tRNA) molecules are approximately 80 nucleotides in length. Their secondary structure includes four short double-helical elements and three loops (D, anti-codon, and T loops).
Source: RNAcentral
GCGGGAAUGGCUCAGUGGUAGAGCGUUACCUUGCCAAGGUAAACGUCGCGAGUUCGAAUCUCGUUUCCCGCUCCA